Molecule: ribosomal RNA, 326 nt
Filed under: uncultured Chloroflexota bacterium
Lineage: Bacteria; Bacillati; Chloroflexota
Description: bacterial SSU rRNA
Rfam family: Bacterial small subunit ribosomal RNA
Source: RNAcentral
GAUGAACGCUGGCGGCGUGCCUAAUACAUGCAAGUCGAACGGAGAUAUUGUAGCAAUACGGUAUUUUAGUGGCGAACGGGUGAGUAACGCGUUGGUGACCUGCCCCGAAGAGGGGGAUAACAGUCCGAAAGGAUUGCUAAUACCCCAUGUGGUUAUAAGGGUUAGAGGCUUUAUAACUAAAGCAGUAAUGCGCUUCGGGUGGGACCUGCGUCCCAUCAGCUAGUUGGUAGGGUAACGGCUUACCAAGGCAAUGACGGGUAGGGGGCCUGAGAGGGUGGCCCCCCACAAUGGAACUGAAACACGGUCCAUACACCUACGGGUGGCAG